CAGCCGCCGCGGUAACACGGAGGGAGCUAGCGUUGUUCGGAAUUACUGGGCGUAAAGCGCGCGUAGGCGGUUACUCAAGUCAGAGGUGAAAGCCCGGGGCUCAACCCCGGAACUGCCUUUGAAACUAGGUGACUAGAAUCUUGGAGAGGUCAGUGGAAUUCCGAGUGUAGAGGUGAAAUUCGUAGAUAUUCGGAAGAACACCAGUGGCGAAGGCGACUGACUGGACAAGUAUUGACGCUGAGGUGCGAAAGCGUGGGGAGCAAACAGGAUUAGAUACCCGCGUAGUCCCUGUCUCUUAUAC
This 301-nucleotide ribosomal RNA is filed under the name uncultured bacterium. RNAcentral's name for it is "partial 16S ribosomal RNA". It matches the Rfam family "Bacterial small subunit ribosomal RNA", at positions 509 to 807 of the family's 1533-position model. The record is from RNAcentral.